Molecule: ribosomal RNA, 1277 nt
Filed under: metagenome
Description: bacterial LSU rRNA
Rfam family: Bacterial large subunit ribosomal RNA
Source: RNAcentral
AAAGAAAAGCCUCUAAGCUUCAGUCUAACGAGACCGUACCGCAAACCGACACAGGUGGGCGAGAUGAGUAUUCUAAGGCGCUUGAGAGAACUCGGGAGAAGGAACUCGGCAAAUUGGUACCGUAACUUCGGGAUAAGGUACGCCCUUGUAGUUUGACUGGCCUGCGCCAGAAGGACGAAGGGGUUGCAAUAAAUUGGUGGCUGCGACUGUUUAAUAAAAACACAGCACUCUGCAAACACGAAAGUGGACGUAUAGGGUGUGACUCCUGCCCGGUGCUGUAAGAUUAAAUGAUGGGGUGCAAGCUCUUGAUUGAAGUCCCAGUAAACGGCGGCCGUAACAAUAACGGUCCUAAGGUAGCGAAAUUCCUUGUCGGGUAAGUUCCGACCUGCACGAAUGGAGUAACGAUGGCCACACUGUCUCCUCCCGAGACUCAGCGAAGUUGAAAUGUUUGUGAUGAUGCAAUCUACCCGCGGCUAGACGGAAAGACCCCAUGAACCUUUACUGUAGCUUUGCAUUGGACUUUGAACCAAUCUGUGUAGGAUAGGUGGGAGGCUUUGAAGCGGGGACGCCAGUUCUCGUGGAGCCAUCCUUGAAAUACCACCCUGGUUUGUUUGAGGUUCUAACCUUGGCCCGUUAUCCGGAUCGGGGACAGUGCAUGGUAGGCAGUUUGACUGGGGCGGUCUCCUCCCAAAGUGUAACGGAGGAGUUCGAAGGUACGCUAAUUACGGUCGGACAUCGUGAUGAUAGUGCAAUGGCAUAAGCGUGCUUAACUGCGAGACUGACAAGUCGAGCAGGUACGAAAGUAGGACAUAGUGAUCCGGUGGUUCUGUAUGGAAGGGCCAUCGCUCAACGGAUAAAAGGUACUCUGGGGAUAACAGGCUGAUUCCUCCCAAGAGUUCAUAUCGACGGGGGAGUUUGGCACCUCGAUGUCGGCUCAUCACAUCCUGGGGCUGCAGCCGGUCCAAAGGGUAUGGCUGUUCGCCAUUUAAAGUGGUACGUGAGCUGGGUUUAAAACGUCGUGAGACAGUUUGGUCCCUAUCUGCCGUGGGCGUUGGAAAUUUGAAGGGGGCUGCUCCUAGUACGAGAGGACCGGAGUGGACGAACCUCUGGUGUACCGGUUGUCACGCCAGUGGCAUUGCCGGGUAGCUAAGUUCGGAAGAGAUAACCGCUGAAAGCAUCUAAGCGGGAAACUUGCCUUGAGAUGAGAUUUCCCAGAGCCUUGAGCUCUUUAAAGGGUCGUUCGAGACCAGGACGUUGAUAGGCUGGGUGUGGAAGCG